This is a long non-coding RNA of Octopus sinensis (East Asian common octopus), 104 nucleotides long. RefSeq lists it as uncharacterized. The transcript has 3 exons. The record is from RefSeq and is a predicted model, not a curated record. Lineage: Eukaryota; Metazoa; Mollusca; Cephalopoda; Octopoda; Octopodidae.
AGCAAUGCAAGAACUGGAAAUGAGCCAUGGAUCUGAACAAAUAAUAAUCCAAGGGAGCUAGGUCCAGACUAUAUGUUGGGUGUUGGAUCACUUCGAGUUCCUUA